AUACGUAGGGUGCAAGCGUUAAUCGGAAUUACUGGGCGUAAAGCGUGCGCAGGCGGUUUUGUAAGACAGAGGUGAAAUCCCCGGGCUCAACCUGGGAACUGCCUUUGUGACUGCAAGGCUAGAGUACGGCAGAGGGGGAUGGAAUUCCGCGUGUAGCAGUGAAAUGCGUAGAUAUGCGGAGGAACACCGAUGGCGAAGGCAAUCCCCUGGGACGGUACUGACGCUAAUGCACGAAAGCGUGGGGAGCAAACAGGAUUAGAUACCCUGGUAGUCCACGCCAUAAACGAUGUCAACUGGUUGUUGGGUCUUCAUUGACUCAGUAACGAAGCUAACGCGUGAAGUUGACCGCCUGGGGAGUACGGCCGCAAGGUUGAAACUCAAAUGAAUUGACGGGG
This 395-nucleotide ribosomal RNA is filed under the name uncultured bacterium. Its description in RNAcentral is "partial 16S ribosomal RNA". It matches the Rfam family "Bacterial small subunit ribosomal RNA", at positions 523 to 918 of the family's 1533-position model. The record is from RNAcentral.